CUUGGUUCUGGCAUCGAUGAAGAACGCAGCGAAAUGCGAUAAGUAAUGCGAAUUCCUGUCCGAGCGUCAUCAUCACC
RNAcentral lists this ribosomal RNA (77 nucleotides) under Capronia americana. Its description in RNAcentral is "Phialophora americana partial 18S ribosomal RNA". It matches the Rfam family "5.8S ribosomal RNA", at positions 20 to 99 of the family's 154-position model. From Rfam's summary of the family: 5.8S ribosomal RNA (5.8S rRNA) is a component of the large subunit of the eukaryotic ribosome. It is transcribed by RNA polymerase I as part of the 45S precursor that also contains 18S and 28S rRNA. The record is from RNAcentral. Lineage: Eukaryota; Fungi; Ascomycota; Eurotiomycetes; Chaetothyriales; Herpotrichiellaceae.